GACGAACGCUGGCGGCGUGCCUAAUACAUGCGAGUAGAACGCUGAAGGAGGAGCUUGCUUCUCUGGAUGAGUUGCGAACGGGUGAGUAACGCGUAGGUAACCUGCCUGGUAGCGGGGGAUAACUAUUGGAAACGAUAGCUAAUACCGCAUAAGAGUAGAUGUUGCAUGACAUUUGCUUAAAAGGUGCAAUUGCAUCACUACCAGAUGGACCUGCGUUGUAUUAGCUAGUUGGUGGGGUAACGGCUUACCAAGGCGACGAUACAUAGCCGACCUGAGAGGGUGAUCGGCCACACUGGGACUGAGACACGGCCCAGACUCCUACGGGAGGCAGCAGUAGGGAAUCUUCGGCAAUGGACGGAAGUCUGACCGAGCAACGCCGCGUGAGUGAAGAAGGUUUUCGGAUCGUAAAGCUCUGUUGUAAGAGAAGAACGAGUGUGAGAGUGGAAAGUUCACACUGUGACGGUAUCUUACCAGAAAGGGACGGCUAACUACGUG
RNAcentral lists this ribosomal RNA (495 nucleotides) under uncultured bacterium. Its description in RNAcentral is "partial 16S ribosomal RNA". It matches the Rfam family "Bacterial small subunit ribosomal RNA", at positions 28 to 507 of the family's 1533-position model. The record is from RNAcentral.